Oncorhynchus tshawytscha (Chinook salmon) is the source of this 5992-nucleotide long non-coding RNA. Lineage: Eukaryota; Metazoa; Chordata; Actinopteri; Salmoniformes; Salmonidae. The record is from Ensembl.
CUAGGGACUACUACAGUAAACCAUCAGACUGACCCACUGGCUAGGGACUACUACAGUAAACCAUCAGACUGACCCACUGGCUAGGGACUACUACAGUAAACCAAGAGACUGACCCACUGGCUAGGGACUACUAGAGUAAACCAAGAGACUGACCCACUGGCUAGGGACUACUACUGUAAACCAAGAGACUGACCCACUGGCUAGGGACUACUACAGUAAACCAAGGGACUGACCCACUGGCUAGAGACUACUACAGUAAACCAAGAGACUGACCCACUGGCUAGGGACUACUACAGUAAACCAUCAGACUGAACCACUGGCUAGGGACUACUACAGUAAACCGUCAGACUGACCCAAUGACUAGGGACUACUACGGUAACCCGUCAGACUGACGCACUGGCUAGGAUCUACAACAGGUAAACAUCAGACUGACCCACUGGCUAGGGACUACUACUGUAAACCAAGAGACUUACCCACUGGCUAGGGACUACUACAGUAAACCAAGAGACUGACCCACUGGCUAGGGACUAUGGUAAACCAUCAGACUGACCCACUGGCUAGGGACGACUACAGUAAACCAUCAGACUGACCCACUGCCUAGGGACUAUGGCAAACCAUCAGACUGACCCACUGGCUAGGGACUUCUACGUUAAACCAUCAGACUGACCCACUGGCUAGGGACUACUGCAGUAAACCAUCAGACUGACCCACCGGCUAGGGACUACUACUGUAAACCAAGAGACUGACCCACUGGCUAGGGACUACUACUGUAAACCAUCAGACUGACCCACUGGCUAGGGACUACUACUGUAAACCAUCAGACUGACCCACUGGCUAGGGACUACUACUGUAAACCAUCAGACUGACCCACUGGCUAGGGACUUCUACAGUAAACCAUCAGACUGACCCACUGGCUAGGGACUACUCCAGUAAACCAAGAGACUGACCCACUGGCUAGGGACUAUGGUAAACCAUCAGACUGACCCACUGGCUAGGGACUACUACUGUAAACCAUCAGACUGACCCACUGGCUAGGGACUGCUACAGUAAACCAUCAGACUGACCCACUGGCUAGGGAAUACUACAGUAAACCAUCAGACUGACCCACUGGCUAGGGACUACUACUGUAAACCAAGAGACUGACCCACUGGCUAGGGACUACUACUGUGAACCAUCAGACUGACCCACUGGCUAGGGACUUCUACAGUAAACCAUCAGACUGACCCACUGGCUAGGGACUACUACAGUAAACCAAGAGACUGUUCCACUGGCUAGGGACUACUACAGUAAACCAAGAGACUGACCCACUGGCUAGGGACUACUACAGUAAACCAAGACAACUGACCCACUGGCUAGGGACGACUACGGUAAACCAUCAGACUGACCCACUGGCUAGGUACUACUACGGUAAACCAUCAGACCGACCCGCUGGCUAGGGACUACUAUAGUAAACCAUCAGACUGACCCACUGGCUAGGGACUACUAUAGUAAACCAUCAGACUGACCCACUGGCUAGGUACUAUUACGGUAAACCAUCAGACCGACCCGCUGGCUAGGGACUACUAUAGUAAACCAUCAGACUGACCCACUGGCUAGGGACUACUAUAGUAAACCAUCAGACUGACCCACUGGCUAGGUACUACUACGGUAAACCAUCAGACCGACCCACUGGAUUGGGACUACUACAGUAAACCAUCAGACUGACCCACUGGCUAGGGACUACUACAGUAAACCAUCAGACUGACCCACUGGCUAGGAACUUCUACUGUAAACCAAGAGACUGACCCACUGGCUAGGGACUACUACUGUAAACCAAGAGACUGACCCACUGGCUAGGAACUACUAAAGUAAACCAUCAGACUGACCCACUGGCUUGGGUCUACUUUGGCAAACCAUCAGACUGACCCACUGGCUAGGGACUAUGGCAAACCAUCAGACUGACCCACUGGCUAGGGACUAUGGUAAACCAUCAGACUGACCCACUGGCUAGGGACUACUGCAGUAAACCAUCAGACUGACCCACUGGCUAGGGACUAUGGUAAACCAUCAGAUUGACCCACUGGCUAGGGACUACUACUGUAAACCAAGAGACUGACCCACUGCCUAGGGACUAUGGCAAACCAUCAGACUGACCCACUGGCUAGGGACUUCUACGUUAAACCAUCAGACUGACCCACUGGCUAGGGACUUCUACUUUAAAUCAUCAGACUGACCCACUGGCUAGGGACUACUACAGUAAACCAUAAGACUGACCCACUGGCUAGGGACUACUAUGGUAAACCAUCAGACUGACCCACUGGCUAGGGACUUCUACUUCAAACCAUCAGACUGACCCACUGGCUAGGGACUACUACUGUAAACCAUCAGACUGACCCACUGGCUAGGGACUUCUACUUUAAACCAUCAGACUGACCCACUGGCUAGGGACUAUGGCAAACCAUCAGACUGACCCACUGGCUAGGGACUACUACAGUAAACCAUCAGACUGACCCACUGGCUAGGGACUAUGGCAAAGCAUCAGACUGAGCCACUGGCAUUGGACUUCUACUUCUACUCUACCCAUAGGGCGAUGGACAAUUGGCUCAGCGUCUUUAGGGUUUGGCUAGGGUAGGCCGUCAUUGUAAAUAAGAAUUUGUUCUUAACUGACUUGCCUAGGUAAAUAAAGUUUACAUUUAAACAAUUUAAUAAAUACAAAUUCAUAUGGAUUGAUUGGAGACUGGCUUAGCUAGCAGUCAAGCUAGCUAGCUAAUUUUCGUCCGCAUGUCAAAUGUGAUGAUACGGAUUCUAAAACGACAAUAGUCCUUAGCUACACAUUACCAUUCAAAGAUUGGACACACCUACUCAUUCCAGGGUUUUUCUUUAUUUUUUACUUUUUUCUACAUUUUAUAAUAAUAGUGAAGACAUCAAAACUAUGAAACAACACAUAUGGAAUAAUGUUGUACCAAAAUCAAAACAUAGAGAUUCUUUAAAGUAGCCAUCCUUUGCCUUGAUGACAGCUUUGCACACUCUUGGCAUUCUUUCAAUCAGCUUCAUGAGGUAGUCACCUGGAAUGCAUUUCAAUUCAAUUGUGGAAUUUAUUUCCUUCUUAAUGUGUUGGAGCCAAUUAGUUGUGUUCUGACAUGUUAAGGGUGGUAUACAGAAGAUAGCCCUAUUUGGUAAAAGACCAAGUCCAUAUUAUGACAAGAACAGCUCAAAUAAGCAAAGAGAAAUGACAGUCCAUCAUUACUUUAAGAUACGAAGGUCAGUCAAUUAAAGUUUCUUCAAGUGCAGUUACAAAAACCAUCAAGCGCUAUGAUGAAACUGGCUCUCAUGAGGACCGCCACAGGAAAGGAAGACCCAGAGUUACCUCUGCUGCAGAGGAUAGGUUCAUUAGAGUUACCAGCCUCAGAAAUUGCAGCCCAAAUAAAUGUUUCACAUCGUUCAAGUAACAGACGCAUCUCAACAUCAACUGUUCAGAAGAGAUUGAGUGAAUCAGGCCGUCGUGGUCAAAUUGCUGCAAAGAAACCUCUACUAAAGGACACCAAUAAACACAAGCAAUGGACGUUAGACCAGUGGACAUUUUUUUGGUUCCAAUAUUUGUGUCUGUGAGACUCAGAGUAGGUGAACAGAUGAUCUCUGCAUGUGUGGGUCCCACUGUGAAACAUGGAGGAGGAGGUGUGAUGGUGUGGGUGUGCUUUGCCUGUGACACUGUUUGUGAUUUAUUUAGAAUUCAAGGCCCACUUAACCAGCAUGGAUUCCACAGCAUUCUGCAGCAAAACGCCAUCCCAUCUGGUUCGCGCUUAGUUGGCAUAUCAUUUGUUUUUCAACAAGACGAUGACCCAACACAUCUCCAGGCUAUUUAAGGGCUAUUUGGCCAAGGAGAGUGAUGGAGUUGCAUCAGAUGACCUGGCCUCGAAAAUCACCCGACCUCAACGCAAUUGAGAUGUUUUGGGAUGAGUUGGACUGCAGAGUGUUGGAAAAGCAUUCUAUGUGAAGCUGAUUGAGAGAAUGCCAAGAGUGUGUUAAGCUGUCAUCAAGGCAAAGGGUGGCUAUUUUGAAGAAUAUCAAAUAUAUAAUAUAUUUAGAUUUGUUUUACUUUUUUUGUUACUACAUGAUUCCAUAUGUGUUAUUUCAUAGUUUUGAUGUCUUCACUAUUAUUCUACAAUGUAGAAAAUAGUAACAAAUAAAGUAAAACUCUUGAAUGAGUAGGUGUGUCCAAACAUUUCACUGGUACUGUAUAGAAUUAGGUAAUUAUAACUUGCUGAUGUCAAAAUUAGCUACAGAUUUGUAACAUUUUCUAAUCUCAUGACAGUGUAUUGUAGCACAACUCCUUUUUUUAUCAAUCCCACUAAGGUUUGCGUGUUAUCGAACAGAUCAGUGCAGACAGCCGUAAUCUGACGUUAAGACAACGGAUAAUAGACCAGAUGAAUGGCUACUUAGAAACAGAACGCCAACUGUCUUCUGAUGUUCUAAAUAAGCACAUACUUUACCGCAGCUGGCAGUUACACUGAACAAGCCUUAAAAUAGUAGUGUGUGCUGUUAUUAUUAUUAUGCAUUAUUUAAUAAGGAUUACUUUGGUGUUUACACAUUAAUAAUCCCAAAUCUAACCAAUGACUGUAUUGCCAGUUAAUUAACACUCUUAACUGUAUUCCAAAUGGCACUCUAUUCCUUAUUUAGUGGACUCCUUUUGACCAGGGCCGUUAGCACUCUCUAUCUCACUCACUGAAGGAGGAUUGUUAUUAAAACACUAAUCAUGGCACCUGGAGACCCAAUGAUAAUGAUAUCCAUGUAUUCUUAUUGUUAUGGGGAUUAUAAUGAUAGGCCUCAUCCAUCUCUUUCACUGUGGCUAUAUGGGGAUACUUUCACUCCUCUGUUGGCUUUAAGGCAGCACCAUAACCUACACCUCUGAAAUAUGCAUCAUUUCUAUGGCUUGUUAUUCACAGUACAGUAUGUAGAAUGUAGCUUGUACAUAGCCUUUUACAGGAAUGCUUUUUGUAUUAUUUUUUUCUCCCUUAAUACUUCAUUAUUAUACAUUUUUACUAGUUUUUUGCUAAUUAUUUUAAACAAAUAUAUAUGAAUAUAUAGAUAUUAGUCGUUCCUUUUUUAUUUGAUUGGACACAUGCUAGUUGAAUGUUUGUUUUUAACCAUUGUUUAUUUGUUAUGAGACUAAGGUGUUGCCUGGGAAACAACUGAAGAACAACAACAUGUCAUAUGUCUUUACAUGACAUUACUUCACACGUCUAACUGUAUUGUGAUUUUGUUCAAAACAAGAGAGUAAGCUUUGAUUUAAAAAAAAUAUAUAUAUAUAUAAUUUCAAAGACCAGACUCUUGUUUAUGUUCCAGUACCGGUUCUAGCUGGUUCCAGAUUAUUUGAUUAGCACCUUGUGAAGUGUUCUCAAUGUCUGUGAUGUAAUUUAUUAAUGUUUUUAUACUUGUACAAUUCUUAAGAGUUUUGUUUUUGGAUAUUUUAUCAGUGUGUGAAUUAACCCCCCCCCCCUACUUAGUGAGUUAGUUCCACUACGUUGUUUAUGACAUCAGUAAGUUUUCGGACACUGUGUGGUCAUUACACUUAGUAUUGUUAAAAUAAUGUUUUUGUUUGUUUUUUCAUAUUAUUAUUUUCAUAUGGUUUCUAACAUCUCACUCUGUCCUCAUCAGUCAAGAUGUUACAUAUGUUAUUGUUAUUAUUAUUAUUGUUAUUAUUAAGAAGCUAUGUCCAAUAACCAUCAUGCCAUUGAUUUUAUUUUUCUAUAAAACAUGAUAAUUAUUCUGUUCAUUUUUCCAUAAGGUUAAUGUGCUGAUUGAUAGCAGUCUUUUAGUCUAUCCGAUGUAAAUGAUGUCACAAUACGACACUCAGAUCAAACUGUCUUUCAACGGAACUCGUUUUAUUUCUACAUGAAUACAGUAUCUUUGUUGUGUGUUUUUGUAUGUCCAACCUAUUAAAUGUAUACACUGUUGUCAAAUGACUACAACCUUUAUCCUUGUUGACUUUGCAAUACAAUAUUGUCUAAACCAG